Vicia villosa (hairy vetch) is the source of this 3175-nucleotide RNA transcript. It is a transcript of the gene named aquaporin PIP2-7, with no coding region annotated. Lineage: Eukaryota; Viridiplantae; Streptophyta; Magnoliopsida; Fabales; Fabaceae. The transcript is spliced from 2 exons. The record is from RefSeq and is a predicted model, not a curated record.
GGCUUUUAUGUUAUUAUUAUUAUCCAUUAAGAAAGUUAUAUAAUGUAGUCUCAUAGAGACAUUUGGGAUCAAUCAAUGAAAAAUCAAAGUUUAUUUUAUCUUUUAUUCUCUUAGCUUGUAGUGUUCUUCCCCUUUAGUUAGAAAACCCUAAUUUUAUAGUCUUGAUAGGAAUCUUCCUAUCAAUUGGUGCUUUCAUUCAUGUACUCUAAUCCUCCUAUGGAUUAUGCUUAUCAUACACCUUCAUCUCAUCAAUGGAGCAUUCCUCCAACCUAUUCCACACCCACACCAACACCUUCAUUUCCAUCAUUCCCAUGGGAACUCUUUACACCUUACUACACUCAUGGAUCUUCAUCACCAAAAUAUUAUCUAAAUCAUGGAUAUUCACCUCAUACACCUACCUCAUAUCCACCACCACCUAACUCAUAUUCAUCCUAUUCAUCUUCUCAUGAUUCAUACUACUACCCUAAUUAUUAUCAUCAACUCCAACCACUAAACACCUCUUCCAUAAAUGGUCAUCAAUAUCAAACCCAUUUUAAAAUUAGAAGGGAUUCUGUUAAAUCUCUCCGUGUAACUCAUCAUUCUUUUAAAAAAACACUCAAAAAAAAAUUUGCUUAUACCAUUUCCGACAGCUCACUUUACAAUGAAAAUGGGAGAAACCCUCUCCCCACACCUCAAACCCCAUCCUCAGUGGUUUAUCCUUACACCCAUCGUCUCUCCCGAAUUCACUUUCAAUUAAAAUCGAAACAAAUAAGAUCUCCAAUAUUUGCUUCUCAUUUACAUAGAGAAGCUAAACGGUAUCCCCAAUUCAGAGCGACGGCGGAAUCUCUGAGCAAAGCUUCAAUGGCGGUAUCCUGGAUCGGCACAGAUGUUCACCUAUACAACGACCCCGAAGACGUCAACAUCGCCCCUCUCCUUGAUAGCAAGUUUGAUUUCGCGACAACAAAUGUUGAGAAAUUUCUCGUUAUACCAGAAGAUGAAGAGGAUUUUCAAAACAUCCAAACCACUUGUCGCACUGUAAUCGACGAUGUCGGCGACGUUUCCGACGAAGCUUCCUCUAUUGAAUCCUCUCAAUCCUCUCAAGACGACUUAUUCGGUGAAAUCGACAAAGAAAUCGCUCUCAAAUGCAAAGAGUUCGUUAUACAAGGUCUUCUCAAACCUUAUCCCGCCAAAGAGGAUAUUGCCGACGUCAUUCACGCAGAGCUUCAACCAGAUGAAGUCGACGAUGCUGAAGAAAAUGAGCAACUCAAGGGUCUUGCGGUCAAUUCUGAUGAAACUCUGGGAGAUUUAUUAGGUUCUAAUUCUGAUUCUUUCUUUGAUUUAGAUUUUGAGGUAGGUGGUUACUAUUGCUGUCUGUUGAUAUAUCCUAAGGGUGAUUCACAAGCUUUGUCUGAUUAUAAUUCUGUUUAUCUUCAAUUCAUGGACCCUAGCAGAACUUCUUCUUCCAAAUGGGACUGUUUCUCUAGUUAUUGUUUGGUAUUUGUGAAUGUUAUUGAUGAUUCCAAAACCAUUCAUAGUGAUUCUUGGCAUAGGUUUACUGCUACGAAGAAAUCGCGUGGUUGGUGGGAUUUUACGCCUGCUUCCACUAUUUUUGAUCUGAAAUUGGGGUAUAUGUCUAGUAAUGAUUCUGUGUUGAUUACAGCUGACUUUCUUAUUCUAAAUAAGUCUGUUAAUCUUAGCUGGGAUAAUAAUGUGGUGCAGUCUUCGGCUCUGUCAUCGUCAUCGUUGGCGUCUUUAUCGGUUGUUGCAGGCCCUGUUUCUUAUCUUUUAAAUGGGAAGUUCACAUGGAAAGUUCGUCAUUGCAGUUUGCGUAAGGAUAUGGUUAGGACUCAUACGACAAUGAGUCUGGUUUUUCCUGCUGGGACAGUGACCGAGUUUCUUCGGAUUUUCAGUCCAGGUCUUGGUUAUGUUUGUGAAAAGAAUCGAAUUGGCGAUCAGUCUUAUGAAGAGGCCAGAGAUGAAGACCAGAAGCUGUUUUCGCCUCAUUCACUUCUGUCCAAAAUAGACAAGUCUAUUGUUGGAAUUCAUAAGAAUGAUAUAGAAAUUGCUGUCAAGACUUACCGCAUGAUGUCUCAACUGUGGUUUGCGCAUGCGUUUGCGACUCUGUUAAAUGCUGGUACACCUAAGGCUCAGUUGAGUAGUUACUUCUUGAUAUGCAUGAAAGAUGAUAGUACUGAGGGUAUUUAUGAUACAUUGAAGGAGUGCGCUGUCAUCAGUAAAUCUGCUGGAGGAAUUGGUGUUUAUGUUCAUAAUAUAAGGGCAUAUGGCAGCUACAUUUGUGGAUGCGCCAACAUAUGGGACAAUCUCAAAAAUCAACUUGGUAUCUUCCACAAACACAUUAAAGACAUAAUGGAUGCUAAAGCUUAUCGAAUGCUACGCGAAUUAUUUUCGAGACCACACACUGACAACAUGAAGAUCAUCAAGGCUUUAAUUUAUUCACAUGAAGACAAUUUCCCUCUAUAUGAUGGUGUUUCAAAGAAAAGGGGUAGCCGUGAGGCACUUAGGAGAAAUAAUGUAUUAUUUCUGUUUUCAUGCUUGGAGCUUUCAAUGGAUGAGCUUCUAAUACUUGAACAGAUCUACAAUGAAUUUUCUGUUAUGAUUGUCCAGUCUAAACAGUGGGAUCCAGGAGUGGAAAAAGAAAACUGGAUUUAGCAAUUUGUUUUUACAACCUUGAGGACAAGGUUGUUUUGAAGGGGUUGGCAAUGAUAGAAGGGUAAUAAUAGGAUUUAUAUUAUUAGUAUGGUUAUUGGGCUUUUAGUAGUGUUUGGGCUUUUAUGUUAUUAUUAUUAUCCAUUAAGAAAGUUAUAUAAUGUAGUCUCAUAGAGACAUUUGGGAUCAAUCAAUGAAAAAUCAAAGUUUAUUUUAUCUUUUAUUCUCUUAGCUUGUAGUGUUCUUCCCCUUUAGUUAGAAAACCCUAAUUUUAUAGUCUUGAUAGGAAUCUUCCUAUCACUAUACCUAUCACCGGUACCGGAAUUAACCCGGCCAGAAGCUUCGGCGCUGCUGUUAUCUUCAACAAUGGCAAAGUUUGGGAUGACCAAUGGAUUUUCUGGGUUGGACCGUUCGUGGGAGCGGCGGCUGCGGCGGCGUACCAUCAGUAUAUUCUGAGAGCGGCGGCUAUCAAGGCGUUGGGCUCGUUCAGAAGCAACCCCACCAACUAAUUAAUUAGGAAUCAUGCAUA